UGUCACCCAGGCUGAAGUGGCACAAUCUCAGCUCACUGCAGCCUCUACCUCCUGGGUUCAAGCGAUUCUCCUGCCUCAACUUCCUGAGUAGCUGGGAUUACAGGUGUGCAUCACCACACCUGGCUAAUUUUUUGUAUUUUUAGUAAAGAUAGGGUUUUGCUGUGUUGGCCAGGCUGGUCUUGAACGCCUGACCUCAAGUGAUCUGUCUGCCUCGGCUUCUGAAAUUGUUGCACUCCAGCCUGGAUGACAGAGCCAGACACUAUCUCAAAAAGGAAAGAAAGCCAGGCAUGGCGGCUCACGCCUGUGAUCCUAGCACUUUGGGAGGCCGAGGUGGGCAGAUUGCCUGAGCUCAGGAAUUUGAGACCAGCCUGGGCAACACGGUGAAAUCCCAUCUCUACUAAAAUACAAAAAAAUGAGCUGGCAUGGCGGUACGCUCCUGUAGUCUGAGACUCCAUCUCAAAAAGGAAAAAAAAAAAAAGCCUCUUGCUCUAGCCAGUUUUCUCCUUUUUUGGUUUCUUAGCUUCUGUCAUCCUGGAGUCCCAUCUUCAAUUGGAGAUGAAGGGUCAGCUAAUUUGAAUUCCCACCCAAAAGUGGUGUUUUGUGCUUUGUCCAGGCUCAGCUCCUUGGUGCCCAUCUGUGCUCAGGGCUCCCUCACCAUCUCGGUGCUUGCUGGGUAGUGCUCAGUGUGGUGGGGAACUGCUCUGGUUCUGGAGUCCGAGUCGGCUCCAGGGCCCAGUACUACCCCUUCCAGCUGUGUGGCCUCACUUGCCUUCACUUCUCCCAGCCUUAGUCUCCUCCUC
RNAcentral lists this long non-coding RNA (800 nucleotides) under Homo sapiens (human). RNAcentral describes it as "non-protein coding lnc-GLE1-3:1". Lineage: Eukaryota; Metazoa; Chordata; Mammalia; Primates; Hominidae. The record is from RNAcentral.